This 253-nucleotide ribosomal RNA is filed under the name uncultured bacterium. Its description in RNAcentral is "partial 16S ribosomal RNA". It matches the Rfam family "Bacterial small subunit ribosomal RNA", at positions 524 to 776 of the family's 1533-position model. The record is from RNAcentral.
UACGAAGGGUGCAAGCGUUACUCGGAAUUACUGGGCGUAAAGGGUGCGUAGGUGGUUGUUUAAGUCUGUUGUGAAAGCCCCGGGCUCAACCUGGGAAUGGCAAUGGAUACUGGACAGCUAGAGUGCGGUAGAGGGUAGUGGAAUUCCCGGUGUAGCAGUGAAAUGCGUAGAGAUCGGGAGGAACACCAGUGGCGAAGGCGGCUAUCUGGACGGUUUCUGACGCUAAGACGCGAAAGCGUGGGGAGCAAACAGG